Molecule: unclassified non-coding RNA, 27 nt
Filed under: Mus musculus (house mouse)
Lineage: Eukaryota; Metazoa; Chordata; Mammalia; Rodentia; Muridae
Description: oocyte_clustered_small_RNA7075
Source: RNAcentral
CAGGAUUGAACUACAGCUGCGUGGUGU